ACAGCAAGGAGGAGGGAAGGAAAGGCCUUGGGAAGAAAGGCAGUUGUAAAUCUUAUCUGGAUUGAGACUGGAGAUAAGGGUGAACUGCCUGCAAUUGUUUUUUGCUGAAGUCAGUAACUGGCAAUAACAUCACUUGUUUAUAAAAGUGUAUAAAAAGUAAACUCUUCAAGGGUUCAUUGUUACUACCUGCCUCAUCACAUUAGAGCCAACCAACAUGGGUCAACCAACAUGGGUCUGAACACUCCUGGCUUUAUCCCAUUUUUUUUCAGGAGAUCCAUCAGGAGACUACAGCUUUCUGCCUUUCAUUUUCUCAUCUGAGCAGGUGAUGAGUUCCCAAGUGGUCUCUGUGCUGGCUGAAAUCCCAGACAUCUGGGUGUGAAAGGCUUCAGAGUCCCAAUGAGGGCAAUUUCAAGUUCAUGCUACCCUCUUAGUCUCCCAAUUUAGCCUGGCCAGUUGAAUCAUAAAAGAAGAAGGAGGAAGAGGCUCUGAGGUGGCUGGGGGCUAUUGUAUGCUUAGGGGACUGCAGGACAUGUAGAGAUCAACAUUGGUGUCUACUGGUCUUGGGCAGAAGGUGAAUGAAAAACAUGCAGGAGCCAUUGCAUUUCCAGGAUGCCAGAAGAAACACCAGCCUGUGACACACACCAGAGUGACACAGAUCAGGGAGAAGAGACCAGAGACAAUAGAAAGGACUCAUCACAGAAGUGUCAGGGACCUGGAUCCAGCUGCCAACACCAUUCAGGAGACAUCUCCAUUCUGGGGAGCAUCAUGGGACUACACAUCAGACUGGGAUGCAUUCCCUGUUGUUCACAGAAAGACAAUUUACAUGUGGAACAAGUUCAGGCAUAUUUUCCCCACUUGAAGGAGUGUAUCAGCGGGGGUGUGUGUGUGUGUGUUAAUAUUUAUCCUCAUGCGCUGAGCCACAGAAAUUCUAUUUGGUUUCAUUGCUUAUGCUAAAUUUUGCCCUUCUUUGUUCUGAAGAAAGUGCUCAAGACUGUGAGAUUUAUUGAACUAAUGACAGUGUUUAGUGAUCGAUUUAACCAACCCUCCCUACCACCAAACUACCAGUCAGAAAUAUGCAUCAGAAGGGGGAGACCUCUGUGACCUCUGGUUCCUUGAUGUUCACCAUGAGUGAGGCCCGUUCUACAUGUAAAUUGAGAGAAUUUGAUAUGGAAGCCACUGAGAAGCACUAAAUGGAACCUCACAAUGCCAUGUUUAUGCUUACUUCUCUGAGGUUAGCUACACUUUAAGGGGUUUAUUUUCAGAACUGUGGCUUCCCUGUUUUGCAGGUACAAGUCUGACCUUCAUUUUUGGUCAUUUGACAUUUGACUGGCUGCAUCUCUAGAUACAGGCAUUAAUUAGCUAGGUAGAGGUACAUCUACCCAGAUUUGCACAUGUGGUCCAUUUUGCAGGCACUUGAGUCAGGGCACAAACCUUCAGCCAUAGAGGACAGGCCAUAGCCAAGCUGCAAAUAUAUCCCCUAAAUUUGGUUAAGUCUAUCCUCUUGUGGCAGGUCCAUAAA
Long non-coding RNA from Trachemys scripta elegans, 1519 nucleotides. RefSeq lists it as uncharacterized. NCBI's taxonomy places the organism in Eukaryota, Metazoa, Chordata, Testudines, Emydidae. The record is from RefSeq and is a predicted model, not a curated record. The transcript is spliced from 3 exons.